GCUAGUGGGUUUGAGUUUGUAACGGGUUGGGGUAUUUGGGCUGAAUUGGGUUUGUAGCGUCUAGGCUUAGGGUGUCUUGAAAUUUUAAGCUAGUUGGGCCUACUCAGAUUUGGCCCUGUUGUUGUAAAGACAUGGACUGUGCUAUUUUUUGGACUUUUAAUUAAUUUUUUUUAGUUUGAUUUUGUUUGUGAUUUUCGCCCGGGAAAAUUGGGCUUAUUACAGCUGCCCCUCUUUGCUCAUUGUCG
Molecule: long non-coding RNA, 245 nt
Filed under: Gossypium raimondii (Peruvian cotton)
Lineage: Eukaryota; Viridiplantae; Streptophyta; Magnoliopsida; Malvales; Malvaceae
Description: long non-coding RNA (GRAI_LNC008404)
Source: RNAcentral